Molecule: RNA transcript, 2316 nt
Organism: Rhododendron vialii
Lineage: Eukaryota; Viridiplantae; Streptophyta; Magnoliopsida; Ericales; Ericaceae
Gene name: nibrin homolog
Exons: 15
Source: RefSeq, a predicted model, not a curated record
UCCUUUCCUUUCUUCUCCCGUUCCUUCUUGAGUUCCAAACAGAGCCUAAUAAGAGAAAAUUCCUCAACCCCAGCGCCGGACCGCUCUCGGGCUCGUAGCUGCUGCCGUGCUGCGUUACUACAAAGUCCAUCAGCCGAUUGGCGGCAAGAAAGCUCAUGAACCCAUUUAUCGUUUUCAAGACUAAAAACCGUUGAUUGGAGGAAACAAAAACACAGGAAAUAUGGUGUGGGGUCUGUUUCCUGUCGACCCAAUUCCAGGCGAAGAGAGUUAUUAUAUCUUCAAUAAAGGGAUGUACAAAGUGGGUCGAAAAGGAUGUGAUGUGAUAGUUAAUAAAGACAAAGGAGUUUCUCGAAUCCAUGCAGAAAUAGUGGUUGAUGAGAUGGCUUCCAUGGGGAGUCUGCAAAAUAAGUCUUCUAAUAUAUAUUCCAAAGUUCGGAUAAGAGAUUGUUCGAAAUAUGGAACAUUUAUCAUCAAGAAUACAGGGUCAAAAGAGAAAGUUCAUGAGUGCCCAAACAAGGAAACAUCUCUGAAAGAUGGCGACCUGGUUUCAUUUGGUACUGGUAAUGCAACGUACAGGUUUUGUUCCGUUCCUCUCACAAUCUUUGUUUACUGCUCGGAACCCUUUGAAGCAAAUCAACUUCUUCAUGAGAAGAUAUCAUCGAGCGGUGCUUGUACAACUCAUAGCUGGAAUCCAGACUGCACUCAUGUGCUGGUUAACCAGUUCAGGCCAUUGACAGAAGGGUUAGUUGAUGCUUUUGUGGCCAAGAAGCCUUUUGUCCUUAAAGAUUGGAUUGAGGCUUUUGCAGGGAAAAAUAUAGGCACUGAAAUUCCAAGCUGCAGUUCUUAUGCUCCAAGCUUGGUGUUGGAAGGAGUAUCAGUCAAAGUUGCGGACCCCAAAUCCCGAGAGAACUGUUUGACUGGAUACACUUUUGUAUUAGAACAGACGCACAAGUAUAAGUUUAAGGAUAAGCUGUCAUCAUUAUUGGCAAUGGUUGGCGCAAAAGUUGUUAAUAUUGAAGGAUUCUCGACAAAUAGCCAAGGCUUGGGAGAUGAAGGUGAUAACAAGGUUGUGCUUGUCACCCCUCCUGAUUUGGUGGACAAAUCUGUGCCCAACUGUAACCUUAGUCAUCUAUCUAUAGUGAAGGAGAGAGAUUUGAUUUGUGCUGCUUUCUCUGGACACUUGGAUCCUUCUAUAAUAGUAGCAGCACCUGUUGUGAUCUCCUCUUCAUGCUCGACGGAUGAGACAGUGGUAGCAGAUUCUGAUGUAGAAGCUGAAACAGCAACGUCAGUUGACCUAUCUGUUGCCAUUAAGCCCGUAGAAACCACGAAACAUGAGACAGAUCAUGCUGCUACCAGAUUAGGAAGUGACAACAUUACUUGCUCCAUUGGCAGAGAUGAUGAUACAACAGCACGAAAAUAUGAGGUUGAUAAGCUCGAAAGUGGAAAUCCAGAUAUUAGCUCCAGCGACCAAGAUAAUACUAUAACAGCAAGAAGAGACCGCAUUGAUGAGCCUGAAAGUGGAAAUCCAGAUAUUAUAUAUAGCCAAAUUUUAGUAGUUAGGGAUACCAACUUACCAGCUUCAGACUAUUCCUCAACUUAUAAUGGAGUUCCAAAUUUUAAAUGCUUCAAAAAGUCGAGGACUCCAUCGGGGAAUAGUUUCGACAAUCUUAUUCCAUUUGCAAAAUACCCAUAUAAAGAUUCUGACUAUGGAAGUGACGAAGUAGCUGAAUCUGUUAAAGAAGAAAAAAAGCGGAAACAAAUGGAGGCUAUUGCAGAGGACUUAUUCAACAACGAGAAGGGGCGAAAGCGAGGAGUCACUGGCUCUCUCCAUGGAAUUUUUACACGUAGUUGACACGGUUUUUGUAGGAUCCUCUUCUAUGUUUGCACUGUGUGGACCGUGGAUUUGUGGACAGAAGGGAAAGGAAAAUGGUUGGAAAACAUGAAAAUAAUCGCGUGAAUAUGCCAAAAUACUUGUGGGCCGCAGACAUGAUGAAUUGCAGCUUAAUAUGGCUCCUCCAGCCUUUUUUCCUUGGAUUUUUCCAACCAAUAUACAAGAAGAGAUAUCCAUGUGGCCUAUACUCUUUCUCAAAUUGUUGCUAGCACUGACUCCCUCUCUCAUCCAUUCGUUAUCGAUCAUGGUUUGCGUUUACGCUUUCUCCUGUGGUGGUUCAGGGUUGUAUGUAAUUGACCAACCAUUUUUUGUUCUUAGCCCCCCUUUUCGUCGAUGCUAGGUCUCUGAUGGUCUUGUACAUGUAAUAUUUCUGCCCGGACACAUGAAUUAUCAAACAAAAAAUGCGAAGCCCCCCUUUUGAUUUU